GAUAAAGAAAGGAAUCGAACCAAUGUUUACAGGACUACAGCCUGCCGCCUUACACUCGGCCACUUUACC
RNAcentral lists this transfer RNA (69 nucleotides) under Anolis limifrons. Its description in RNAcentral is "tRNA-Tyr". The record is from RNAcentral. Lineage: Eukaryota; Metazoa; Chordata; Lepidosauria; Squamata; Anolidae.